RNAcentral lists this ribosomal RNA (301 nucleotides) under uncultured bacterium. RNAcentral describes it as "partial 16S ribosomal RNA". It matches the Rfam family "Bacterial small subunit ribosomal RNA", at positions 509 to 807 of the family's 1533-position model. The record is from RNAcentral.
CAGCAGCCGCGGUAAUACGAAGGGUGCAAGCGUUAAUCGGAAUUACUGGGCGUAAAGCGCGCGUAGGUGGUUUGGUAAGAUGGAUGUGAAAUCCCCGGGCUCAACCUGGGAACUGCAUCCAUAACUGCCUGACUAGAGUACGGUAGAGGGUGGUGGAAUUUCCUGUGUAGCGGUGAAAUGCGUAGAUAUAGGAAGGAACACCAGUGGCGAAGGCGACCACCUGGACUGAUACUGACACUGAGGUGCGAAAGCGUGGGGAGCAAACAGGAUUAGAUACCCCGGUAGUCCCUGUCUCUUAUAC